This 21-nucleotide non-coding RNA is filed under the name Caenorhabditis elegans. Lineage: Eukaryota; Metazoa; Nematoda; Chromadorea; Rhabditida; Rhabditidae. The record is from RNAcentral.
UCAGAAUGACUAGAAAGUUGG